Vicia faba (fava bean) is the source of this 261-nucleotide non-coding RNA. The record is from the annotation of a GenBank genome assembly. NCBI's taxonomy places the organism in Eukaryota, Viridiplantae, Streptophyta, Magnoliopsida, Fabales, Fabaceae.
AUGAAACCAGAAUUAGCCAAGACUUACUCAACUUUAAAGAGGGAACCGGAGGAAUUGAUACAGAAAAAAAACGUGUUCAAUCCGUUGCGUGUUGCUCCUGUUGUUUCCAAUCGCUUGAAUUGUGUCGAAUAUCAAAUGACUCUGUGUUCAAACAUCGAUUGCAGAGAUGAUUCUGCACCUUUCCAUUUGAGGGCUUCCCCUGCAAAACCCGCGGUGCAACCACCUCGUGUUCACAGCAUCAACGGGGAUAUCAAGACCUGA